RNAcentral lists this unclassified non-coding RNA (2293 nucleotides) under Hevea brasiliensis (rubber tree). The record is from RNAcentral. Lineage: Eukaryota; Viridiplantae; Streptophyta; Magnoliopsida; Malpighiales; Euphorbiaceae.
UGGGCAGUCAACAAGAAAUACAAUUGGACCAGGAAUUGAUGGACCCAUUACAUCACUUGGAUGAACCACAAUAUUCUGGUGAUCUGACUUCACCGAUUUCCCUGAUUGCAGUUCACGAUAUUUUGGCCCAGGUUUCAGACCAAGAGCUUUUGCUUUUUCAGGGUCAAACUUCCCCACAAUAUCAGGCAAUUCACAAAGAUAUAUCACAGAAAUAUCACCAGGCUUUACUGCAGCUCCUUCUGAGCAGCUUGGACGUAGGAGAAUAGCUGAAAUUUUGACAACCUCAUUGUUAAUAAUGUCAAUUGGAUCCGUAAAGUUACUUGCACCAAACUGAGCCUUAGAAUCAGAACCAAAGCUCAUUGUAUGAACCAUGGCAGCAUGAGGAAUGAAAGAUUUCAUUGCAUCAACCAAAUACUGAAGAUCUGAAGGGCCCCAUACGUUGACUGACAUUCCUUCUUCUCCCAUGCCAGCCAAAGUCAACAACAAACCUGUCAGGCAAAGUGAAUAUCCAGAAAUUUACGGUUCUCACACUUAUUUCACAACCAUCCAAAUAUCAGUAAAUAAUUAUGCUCAAAGACAACAAAACAUCGCGAUAUUACAAGAUUUUGUGGUUAUAAGAAAAAAAAUUGUAAGCAUGACAUCCUAUUUAAUCUAUAAAGAUACAAACCUGGAAUGCCACCAGCUGUCUCUGAGCACACACGAGAGAGAAAUAUGUGAUCUAUCUGAAAAAUAUUCAUGAAGACCAUAUUUUUGCUCCAUAUUAGAAAGAGUCAUUAGCAUCUGAAUGGGGAUGCAUGAAUAUGGGUGCGUGCGUGAGUGCGUGCAUGUGUGUGUGUGUCUUUUAAAAAAAUAUUUCAUACCUUCGAUAGCUUAAUCUUAUGUUCUGUGCAGAAGCGCUGCAAUCCCUGCAUGGUGAUUGUAGAUUAAUGAAACAAAACAGAUUUAGGUGUCUGAUUGACCAUAUGGGAUAUAUGGCAGAUUUAAGCACUGAAUUACUGGCAAGAACAUCUUCUAUCACAAAUCCCCACCAUAUCCUCUUUAAACAGUAGAGUUUAGAACAAGGAUGCUUGUCUCUUCAUUUGAUUGCUUAAAGCAUACAUGCAUCACUAUUAUGCAUGUUAUAGAAUUACCUGAAAAGGCUCAUCAAUGGUUUUGAAAUUAUGUUUACACAAUUUUUAGAGGAUGUUUUUCCAAAGAUAAUGGAAGAAAGUGAGAAUUAUUAAAUGUGGAUGGUUUGGAACAUUGAGCAAGAGCAGAUAUACCAAUCAUCUAUGGUUUUUGGUAAACAGUUGUAUCAUGCAAAAAAGUGUCAAGGAAGGACUCCAUAAGACUUCUCAAAUAUGAGCUACAAGUGUAAAACAAGCUGAACAUUUAUGUAACUUCAUCUAGUUUAGACUAAAAUCAAACCUUCAUCACUAGGCAUAAUGUGUGAAUUAGUUCUGUAUAUCAAUUUGACCAAACGGAUAAUCUAUGGGGCUACAAAGACAAUAACAUUGAGAAACUGAGGAAUAUCAGAUAAAGCCAGAUUGAACAUAAAACUUUCAACCAUCUCCUAACUAUAAAGUGUAAAUCACAGAAAGACAAAAGAAUCCAAAGCAUAGAAGCUGUUCCUCUUUAAUAAAUAUGAUUAAGCCACGCAUAAUACAGAUAAAAUAAGUUCAAUUUCUAACCCAACGAGUAAAAGAAGUAUCCCGAAUUACAGAAGGAUGUUUUACAUUACUACCACUGUAUGAUUACCUCACCAGCAUUAAAAAUGAAUCUUUGCUUGUCAAAGAAGAACAAGAUUGAAGGUGAAGUAUCCUGAGUAUCCAUUCCAGUCCCCAGAAUCUGCAAGUAAGAGAUUGUAUUGGUAGGAUUAAGCUUCCGAACUUUCAACUGGAGAUUCCUUUCGGGCUUAUCACUUUUAUCUCUGCCCUCAGCCUUUCUUUUAUUAAACCCAAAAGUUUCAUUACCACUCUCUUCCAUUGGAAGACCUUUGUCCCUUUCUCUACUCUUGCUAUUAGUCUCUCUACUAAAAGUACUAUUACUUCUGCUUCUAAAAUUGAGAGACUGGUGGCUAGGCGUGGUAGGGUGUCGUCUAGAAGAAGAAGAAGAGAAGAUGGUGAAGAGAGAGUAAGGCUUGGGUUUAGAGAAAGAGAAAGGCAGAAAGGGCUUUAGAGGAGAGAAGAGGAGGCGCAGAUUUGAGGUUUGGAGCAUUUGGGCGUUAUGUGAUCCGUUGUUAGUAGGCGAUUUUGCAAGGGCGAUUUUGCAAGGGCUUCAGAUGGGUGGCAGGGGAAGAAAGAGGCAACUACGC